Carassius auratus (goldfish) is the source of this 1484-nucleotide long non-coding RNA. RefSeq lists it as uncharacterized. The record is from RefSeq and is a predicted model, not a curated record. Lineage: Eukaryota; Metazoa; Chordata; Actinopteri; Cypriniformes; Cyprinidae. The transcript is spliced from 3 exons.
AGCAGUUGGGGGUUCUGUGCUUUGCCUUCACCUCAUUCAUGGUAUUGAGGGUGGAAGAGAGAGCUGGUUAUUAACUGACUUCAGGAUAUUUAGCAUUUUAUGCAUUACAAACAAGAGCUGCUCGUUUGCUGCCAUUGCAUUGAUUCAUAUUUUUGUUUAAGGUGACAAAGUGGAAGAGACCAUAGAGAGAAGUUGUGCCACAACAUAUGACUGUGAAAUCUGGUACAUUACAACAGGCAAUUCUUUCCAGUGCUGCGACACCGACUUGUGCAAUGAACAAGAUGACAUAGAUUUCUCAUACUCUUAUUAUGAUAAUGUUGCUUAUUAUGAUCAUGAUGAGAAGAAAUGUUUCACUUGUGAUGAGGAGGACUGCUCAGACAUACAGAGUUGUGUGGAGGAUGAAGACUACUGCUUUACUGCAAAGGGAAAUCAACCAAACACUGUAAAAGGAUGUGCCUCCAAAUACAUCUGUGAUUGUCCGCUAAAAUGGCUAGGACCUGGCUAUAUCACAUGUUGUGAGGGUAACCUGUUUAACGGCACUCAGAGCGUCACUCAGAGCUUCAUGUUCCUCUGCUAUUCUCUGCUCUCCUUCAUCCUGCUGCACUGAAUCCAGCAGCAAAGACCCUCCACAUCAGCCAGAAUGUAAUGAAUGACUGUGUGUCAAUCAAAAUAAAGCAUUCAUUUUCUAAGAUCAGUUGGUUAUCUUUUAGUCCAUGAUGUAAGAACGUCAAAAAUACAUUGGGGUCUAAACCACACAUUGAAAAUGCAGAAUAAUAAUAAAAAAAUAAAAAUAGACUUUUGGACCAUGCAUAUUGAAAUUGUCAUAUGUCAUUUGCAUAUAUCCAGACAUGAUAUUCAGUUAUUGGAGUGCAGUAAAUAUUUGAUUAUGUAAUUAUAUAAAAAAGUUAUUUUUUCAAAUGUUUGAAAUACAACAUUAAAAUAAUCCUAACACAUUUAGCAGUUGCCAAGUUGCCCUUGUGCAGACACUUACAAGAAACCAAGUUUGUUUUUCCAACACAGUGAAACCCACAAAACCACUGACAAACAUUAACAUUAUGAUAACUUAACUUAGGCACACUGCAGUAUAUACUGAGAUAAUGAUGAUUAUUAACCCUAAUCAAAGCAUUAAACCAAAACUUCUCAUAAUUUUUUUUGCAUUUUUCCUUUUUUAGUAAAAGUUGGUUUAGUAUGUUUAUUAGGUCAUUUGAGUUAGGGAGGCAAUGUCAUGUCUUCAUAAUGUAGCAAAAAAUGAAUACGCCUACAUUAAGAAACAUUUUUGGUGGCAUAAGUAGGUCAAAGCAGUGCAGAUUUCACACAUAUGCAUCUGCAUUGGCCUAAACACACAGGUGCUUUUAUGUAGUUGGACUUUCCACUGACUUCUUCUGAGCCUAAAUUUAGUCAUCCUCUUCUCCUAAAGCUUUAACGUUACAACCACCAAACUCGGGUCAGACCUUCAGACUGGUCUGACGUUGGUUGUUAUAUCU